Molecule: long non-coding RNA, 783 nt
Filed under: Solanum tuberosum (potato)
Lineage: Eukaryota; Viridiplantae; Streptophyta; Magnoliopsida; Solanales; Solanaceae
Description: long non-coding RNA (STUB_LNC001786)
Source: RNAcentral
AAGUCUCCAGUGAGUAAUAAAACAUGUUACUUUUCAAGACAUAAGAAUCAAUAAUCACAGUGAAUUCCUUUAUUAUAACCGAGAUAUUGACACAAAAUGCAAAAGAACUACAAUUUGAAGGAAUCACAACGUAAUUACAAUAUACGUCCAACGACCACUUUGUAGCUCUCAAACAAAGCUGCAAUUUUUUUCUCCUGAUUUUGAUGGCCAAUUGGUCUUGAGGUCAUUUCUCCUGGUUUUGAAAGCAUAAUCCCUAUAAGGCAAUACAAAACAAAAGAAAGCAACAAUCUUUAAUUGCUUACUAUGUCACAUGAAGAAGAAUCAACAUAAAACUCAUUUCAUACACAAUUUUAUUUUGUUUCCCAAUAUCAAAAAAUCAAUGAGAAACAGUGGAUCUGACCAACAAAAAGAAAAUCACCAAAUGACUAAAAAGACCCUUUCAACAUCCACCGGUUCUACCAAUCACUUGCAUGAGACUCUAAAACCAAAUAAAACAGAGAUUUAGAAAAGGACUAGCAACCAAAUAAUAAGUCAUACCAGAUGCAGGACACAACCAAAUGCAGACAGCAGCUCCAAUCAACAAUACCAAUUACGUGUGGGUAUAUGAAUCAUCACUGACCAUGUUUCUCCAUUUAAAUUUAUCUCAUGCCACCAUAUAAAGUAAAUGAAAAAUAAAAGAUACUAGUUAAAAGCUAAAAGACUACCUGGAAAACCUAGCUUUAAGAAGAAAAAUCAACUAAAAAUAUAGGUUGUUUUUGCAGUCUCACAGAAUAGUAAGCUUAC